AUUGAACGCUGGCGGCAUGCCUUACACAUGCAAGUCGAACGGCAGCACGGGUGCUUGCACCUGGUGGCGAGUGGCGCACGGGUGUGUAAUACAUCGGAACAUGUCCUGUAGUGGGGGAUAGCCCGGCGAAAGCCGGAUUAAUACCGCAGACGAUCAACGGAUGAAAGCGGGGGCCCUUGGGGCCGCGCGCUCUAGUGUUGGUCGAUGGCUGAUUCGCUAGUUGGUGGGGUAAAGGCAUACCAAGGCGACGAUCAGUAGCUGGUCUGAGAGGACGACCAGCCACACUGGGACUGAGACACGGCCCAGACUCCUACGGGAGGCAGCAGUGGGGAAUUUUGGACAAUGGGCGAAAGCCUGAUCCAGCAAUGCCGCGUGUGUGAAGAAGGCCUUCGGGUUGUAAAGCACUUUUGUCCGGAAAGAAAUACUUGGCCCUAAUACGGUCGGGGGAUGACGGUACCGGAAGAAUAAGCACCGGCUAACUACGUG
This 486-nucleotide ribosomal RNA is filed under the name uncultured bacterium. RNAcentral's name for it is "partial 16S ribosomal RNA". It matches the Rfam family "Bacterial small subunit ribosomal RNA", at positions 30 to 507 of the family's 1533-position model. The record is from RNAcentral.